CCUUAGUCUGCCGCCAAUGGGCAAAGAGGCUAGGAGUUACGCCCCAACAGUCUAAUUCCCGAUCUCCUCGGACAAAGUGGCUCUGCAAAUCUGCGCUGUCAAGAAAUGACGAACGAGGAGCUUCUGGCAAAGCUGGAGGACUCCACGAAAGACGCCGCGCUUCACCAGCUCCAGACUCUCCACUCGAUCCUCCAACACCAAGCUGGUGUACGUUAUCUCUGGCCCUUUCUCUCAGGCUAUCAUGAGCCCAUCGACGCUGAAACUUUUCGCCGCUUAGUACCGUUGUCUAGCUACGAAGAUUACGCCGAUCACAUCAGUCGAAUGGCCAACGGAGAACCCGAUCACGAUCACCCUUUCCUCUCCGUUGACCCUCUCGUUUGUUUCUUUUACAGGUUUGUUUCUUCUACAGGUGAAAAUGUUGCCUUCACUUCUUUGACUCUUCAAGUUUUCCUCCCAUAGAGAAUUUCACGAUUUUUUUUGUUUGAAACAAAAUUUGUAGCUCUGGAACUAGUACAAUGAAGCCCAAAUUGAUACCAUACUUUGAUUCGGCUCUAUCAAAAGCUGCCUCCUACCUAGCUCACAAUGGCAGUAACGCAAUUUUUCGUAGGUUGAUUCCUCCAAGGCCUGUAGUGAAUAAGAUCCUUUGGUUUCUAUAUGCCGAUGAUUUUACGACUACAAGAGGCGGGUUUAAUGCUGUGGCUGCUUCCACGUACCCUUUGCUGAAAAUGAGUAAAGCCAAGUGGUCUGAAGCUCUCUCCUGCACUAGUCCUCCAGAAGUCAUUUCGGGUACAAAUGUUAAGAACCAAAUGUAUUGCCAUCUUCUUUGUGCACUUAGAAAUUCUGAUUUAAUAGAUGGGAUUCGUGCCCCUUAUGCUAUAGGCUUAGUUAAAGCAUUUAAUCUGCUAGAGUCCAAGUGGGGGCAACUAUGUGAUGAUCUUGAAAAUGGGUUUCCGGAUAUGCAGAUUACUGAUCCUGCAAUGAGAGAAUCUGUUGCUAAGGUUCUCAAUGGGCCUCAACCUGAUUUGUCAAAUAGACUUCGAUCCAUUUUUGAGGAAAAGAAUUGGGGUGGAAUUGUAUCUAAACUGUGGUCUAAUGUUCGUUAUGUUAAGUGUGUUACAACUGGAAGCAUGAAGCAUUAUUAUUCCAAACUCAAGUACUAUGCGGGAGAGGUUAUAAUUUUAGGUGGAGAUUACUUUGCAUCAGAAUGUCCUGUGGGUAUUAACCUGGAUACUAAACAACCUCCAGAGGCGACCCGCUUUGCUAUGCUUCCAACUGCUGCCUAUUUUGAGUUUCUGCCAUUCGAUUUGAAUGAGGGCAGUGUUGUUGGAAAAGAAACUGUGAAUUUUUCGGGUGUUGAAGUAGGGAAGACAUAUGAGGUGGUUGUUACUACUUACAGAGGAUUUUAUCGUUACCGCUUGGGUGACAUUGUUAGAGUUGUUGGUUUUCAUAAUUCAUCUCCAGAAGUGGAGUUCGUGAUGAGAGCUCCUAACAAUGCCUAUGAGGUAAUAACAGAGAGGGAUUUGAUGUCUGCUGUGGAGAGUUUUCAGCUUGUUAUGAGAAAUGCUAUUGCAGCAGAGAUUGUGGAGUUCGCAAGUUUCUUGGAUUUGGAAUUGAGUCCAAAGCAAUUGAAGAUUUUUUUAGAAGUUAAAGAGGGAUGCGGGCUUCUGCAGGAGGAGAAAUUGCAAGAAUCAGUUGAGUCUCUCAAGUGGUGUUGUUCCUCUCUUGAGAAGGGUUUGGGAGGUAUAUACAAGGUGCAGAGAGAUAGGGGUGAAAUAGGUCCUCUGUUGGUAUAUAUUGUAAAGCCUGGUAGCUUUGAUAGGAUAUUGCAAAUGGCAGUGGAGAAUGGAGCACCAGCUAGUCAAUAUAAGCCACCGAAGAUUAUUAGAAACAGCAGAGUUAUUGGUGUUAUGGAAUCAUCUGCUCUUGUGACUGUAUGCUUGGACUCAUUGGAUGGAUUUGAUCCCAACUAAUGAACCAAAGAGGUUUGCAAAGCCUGCAUGCCUUCAAGCUUCUACUGGUGAUUGAAAGAUGCUUGUCAAUCUUAUCUUACCAACAAAUAAUACAUGAUCAAAGUUGUAUCAAAUUAGAGUGUAAUAGUAAGUGAACUAAUAAUUUUUUGAUGUUAAUGCAGUUUUGUAUGCACAUCCAAG
Molecule: unclassified non-coding RNA, 2150 nt
Filed under: Hevea brasiliensis (rubber tree)
Lineage: Eukaryota; Viridiplantae; Streptophyta; Magnoliopsida; Malpighiales; Euphorbiaceae
Source: RNAcentral